GAUGCCCUUAGAUGUUCUGGGCCGCACGCGCGCUACACUGAUGAAUUCAACGAGCCUACAACCUUGGCCGAAAGGUCUGGGUAAUCUUUGAAAUUUCAUCGUGAUGGGGAUAGAUUAUUGCAAUUAUUAAUCUUCAACGAGGAAUGCCUAGUAAGCGCGAGUCAUCAGCUCGCGUUGAUUACGUCCCUGCCCUUUGUACACACCGCCCGUCGCUACUACCGAUUGAAUGAUUUAGUGAGGUCUUCGGACUGG
This 252-nucleotide ribosomal RNA is filed under the name Nephroselmis pyriformis. RNAcentral's name for it is "partial Eukaryotic small subunit ribosomal RNA". It matches the Rfam family "Eukaryotic small subunit ribosomal RNA", at positions 1466 to 1718 of the family's 1831-position model. Lineage: Eukaryota; Viridiplantae; Chlorophyta; Nephroselmidophyceae; Nephroselmidales; Nephroselmidaceae. The record is from RNAcentral.